AGUGAACGCUGGCGGUAGGCCUAACACAUGCAAGUCGAACGGCAGCACAGUAAGAGCUUGCUCUUACGGGUGGCGAGUGGCGGACGGGUGAGGAAUAUAUCGGAAUCUACUUUUUCGUGGGGGAUAACGUAGGGAAACUUACGCUAAUACCGCAUACGACGUACGGGUGAAAGCAGGGGAUCUUUGGACCUUGCGCGAUUGAAUGAGCCGGUGUGGGAUUAGCUAGUUGGCGGGGUAAAGGCCCACCGAGGCGACGAUGCGUAGCUUGGCUGAGAGGCUGGUGCCCGACUCAGGAGGUGAGACGCGGUCCAGGCUCCUACGGGAGGCAGCGGUGGCGAAUAUUGGAAGAUGGGGGCAAGCCUGAACCAGCCAUGCCGCGUGGGUGAAGAAGGCCUUCGGGUGGUAAAGCGCUUUUGUUGGGAAAGAAAGGCAGCAGGUUAAUCCCCCGCUGUUCUGCCGGUACCCAAAGAAUAAGCACCGGCUAACUUCGU
RNAcentral lists this ribosomal RNA (491 nucleotides) under uncultured bacterium. Its description in RNAcentral is "partial 16S ribosomal RNA". It matches the Rfam family "Bacterial small subunit ribosomal RNA", at positions 29 to 506 of the family's 1533-position model. The record is from RNAcentral.